This 253-nucleotide ribosomal RNA is filed under the name uncultured bacterium. RNAcentral describes it as "partial 16S ribosomal RNA". It matches the Rfam family "Bacterial small subunit ribosomal RNA", at positions 524 to 776 of the family's 1533-position model. The record is from RNAcentral.
UACGUAGGGUGCGAGCGUUAAUCGGAAUUACUGGGCGUAAAGUGUGCGCAGGCGGCCGCGCAAGUCGAGUGUGAAAGCCCCGAGCUUAACUUGGGAAUUGCGCUCGAAACUACGUGGCUGGAGUGUGGCAGAGGAAGGUGGAAUUCCACGUGUAGCGGUGAAAUGCGUAGAUAUCAGGAGGAACACCGGUGGCGAAGGCGGCCCUCUGGACGGUGACUGACGCUGAGACGCGAAAGCGUGGGGAGCAAACAGG